RNAcentral lists this ribosomal RNA (520 nucleotides) under uncultured Glomus. RNAcentral describes it as "SSU rRNA". It matches the Rfam family "Eukaryotic small subunit ribosomal RNA", at positions 569 to 1093 of the family's 1831-position model. Lineage: Eukaryota; Fungi; Glomeromycota; Glomeromycetes; Glomerales; Glomeraceae. The record is from RNAcentral.
AGCAGCCGCGGUAAUUCCAGCUCCAAUAGCGUAUAUUAAAGUUGUUGCAGUUAAAAAGCUCGUAGUUGAAUUUCGGGGUUAGUAAGCUGGUCAUGCCCUCGGUAUGUACUGGCUUUACUGAUUCCUCCUUCUUGACGAACCGUGAUGUCAUUAAUUUGGUGUUGCGGGAAAUCAGGACUGUUACUUUGAAAAAAUUAGAGUGUUUAAAGCAGGCUAACGCUUGAAUACAUUAGCAUGGAAUAAUGAAAUAGGACGUUAAUCCUAUUUUGUUGGUUUCUAGGAUCGACGUAAUGAUUAAUAGGGAUAGUUGGGGGCAUUAGUAUUCAAUUGUCAGAGGUGAAAUUCUUGGAUUUAUUGAAGACUAACUACUGCGAAAGCAUUUGCCAAGGAUGUUUUCAUUAAUCAAGAACGAAAGUUAGGGAUCGAAGACGAUCAGAUACCGUCGUAGUCUUAACCAUAAACUAUGCCGACUAGGGAUCGGAUGAUGUUAUUUUUAAUGUACUCAUUCGGCGCCUUACGG